CCUACGGGAGACAGCAGUGAGGAAUAUUGGUCAAUGGACGAGAGUCUGAACCAGCCAAGUAGCGUGAAGGAUGACUGCCCUAUGGGUUGUAAACUUCUUUUAUAUGGGAAUAAAAUGUUCCACGUGUGGGAUUUUGUAUGUACCAUAUGAAUAAGGAUCGGCUAACUCCGUGCCAGCAGCCGCGGUAAUACGGAGGAUCCGAGCGUUAUCCGGAUUUAUUGGGUUUAAAGGGAGCGUAGGUGGAUUGUUAAGUCAGUUGUGAAAGUUUGCGGCUCAACCGUAAAAUUGCAGUUGAAACUGGCAGUCUUGAGUACAGUAGAGGUGGGCGGAAUUCGUGGUGUAGCGGUGAAAUGCUUAGAUAUCACGAAGAACUUCGAUUGCGAAGGCAGUUCACUGGACUGCAACUGACACUGAGGCUCGAAAGUGUGGGUAUCAAACAGGAUUAGAUACCCCAGUAGUC
Molecule: ribosomal RNA, 460 nt
Filed under: uncultured bacterium
Lineage: Bacteria
Description: partial 16S ribosomal RNA
Rfam family: Bacterial small subunit ribosomal RNA
Source: RNAcentral